AUGCGUGAGGCUGAUCACUGUCUAAUGGCUGAGGAAGAGAGAGGCAGCUCCCCACAGCAGCACAGAGGGAAGGUGGGGGGUGAGAAAAGCUCAGAGCAUUUGGAGAAGAAAUGCAAUUCUUCAAAGCUGUCUGUCAAACCUGGGAAAUUAUUUUGGAGCGGAGGGCUCCCGGCCACCAUUGCAGCACCUGGAGUUCAGAGGAGCCUUUUGUGCAGAGCUACAAAACAUCCACUCACCUGGAUUGGUAGGGUUUGUGUUUUGGAAGCCAAGAUAAAGAGAGUGUGGGAUUUUGUCUCUCCUGGAUGGCUACAGGAAGAGCCCUGAUUAAUUACUACUUAGUGUAACGCAAGAUGAAAGACAAGGACUCCAUGUAGUGAGGCAAAUAGUGCUUUUAUCGUUACAUGCUGAAGGCAAGAAAUUCAAGGCAGAUGGUAUCACAACGCACUGGAACUAUGCGCUUCUUGAAAAAUUGCAUCAAAACCUGCAAUUUAGAUUAUGAAGUACUCUGCCUUUCAGCAUGCAACACUUGCCAGUGAUUACAAAAAGUCUUAAACAUUCUCACUAUUAUACUUGACUACGAUGUGAUGAUUCAAUUUAGAUUACUGUGUUUAGAUUGCAGGGACUCUCAGAUUACAACUUGAGCUACAGAGACUGAAAAAUGUUUAGCCAGCUAUAGAGUUGGAAAGAUGUAGGCGUUAUUCCCGCCAGGCGUUUAGUGGUGAUUUCCACGCUGUAGCCUGCACGGCUACGUGGUGCCCUGUUGCCAUUACUGUGUGCUUAAUUAGCAGUUUGAUGGUACAGAUGAGUGGUGAGAAAUUGUGGCAGGCUGCCAGUGGGCAAAGGGGUUUCAAAACCACUUUUUUAACAAACCUGGGUCCAUACCAGCACGGCCCCAUGUAGGAGGUAAGGGCUGUGAUCGGGGGCCUGCAGUGAUGCUCUCUGUGUCUCGGCAGAGAGGAUUUCUCUUGUCUGGACCAGUUUCAGGAGACGGGUUUGUAGCAUCCCCUCCAGAUCCCAUCCUGCACGCUUCAAGCAGCGCUGAACGCCCUUAGGUAUUUCUCUGAAUCCCUUUUGAGGAACAGAGAUGUUUUGCUCUGAUCUUUGCAUACGCAGUCGGUUUCUCAUUGCUGGGUUGCUAAUCCUCAGCUUCUGCUAAACAAGAUCUGAGAGGAACUUUUAACUUCCAGCCUUGCUGUCUCCCAAAGCAUCAUGUAACAGUGCACUGGAUACACCAGUUUCUGGAUUUAACUUGGCACUUGCUUUGACAUGAAAUUAAUUCUAUAACAGGAUAGGGGGUGAAUUUUAAAUGCAACAGCUACAUUUA
Molecule: long non-coding RNA, 1324 nt
Filed under: Struthio camelus australis
Lineage: Eukaryota; Metazoa; Chordata; Aves; Struthioniformes; Struthionidae
Description: lncRNA (ENSSCUG00000004786.1)
Source: RNAcentral